Molecule: ribosomal RNA, 497 nt
Filed under: uncultured bacterium
Lineage: Bacteria
Description: partial 16S ribosomal RNA
Rfam family: Bacterial small subunit ribosomal RNA
Source: RNAcentral
GAUGAACGCUGGCGGCGUGCCUAAUACAUGCAAGUCGAGCGAACAGAUAAGGAGCUUGCUCCUUUGACGUUAGCGGCGGACGGGUGAGUAACACGUGGGUAACCUACCUAUAAGACUGGGAUAACUUCGGGAAACCGGAGCUAAUACCGGAUAACAUUUGGAACCGCAUGGUUCUAAAGUGAAAGAUGGUUUUGCUAUCACUUAUAGAUGGACCCGCGCCGUAUUAGCUAGUUGGUAAGGUAACGGCUUACCAAGGCGACGAUACGUAGCCGACCUGAGAGGGGGAUCGGCCACACUGGAACUGAGACACGGUCCAGACUCCUACGGGAGGAAGCAGUAGGGAAUCUUCCGCAAUGGGCGAAAGCCGGACGGAGCAACGCCGCGUGAGUGAUGAAGGGUUUCGGCUCGUAAAACUCUGUUAUUAGGGAAGAACAAAUGUGUAAGUAACUGUGCACGUCCUGACGGUACCUAAUCAGAAAGCCACGGCUAACUACGUG